RNAcentral lists this ribosomal RNA (426 nucleotides) under uncultured prokaryote. RNAcentral describes it as "bacterial SSU rRNA". It matches the Rfam family "Bacterial small subunit ribosomal RNA", at positions 355 to 774 of the family's 1533-position model. The record is from RNAcentral.
UAGGGAAUCUUCGGCAAUGGGCGAAAGCCUGACCGAGCAACGCCGCGUGAAUGAUGAAGGCCUUCGGGUUGUAAAAUUCUGUUAUAAGGGAAGAAUGGCUCUAGUAGGAAAUGGCUAGAGUGUGACGGUACCUUAUGAGAAAGCCACGGCUAACUACGUGCCAGCAGCCGCGGUAAUACGUAGGUGGCGAGCGUUAUCCGGAAUUAUUGGGCGUAAAGAGCGCGCAGGUGGUUGAUUAAGUCUGAUGUGAAAGCCCACGGUUAACCGUGGAGGGUCAUUGGAAACUGGUCAACUUGAGGGCAGAAGAGGGAAGUGGAAUUCCAUGUGUAGCGGUGAAAUGCGUAGAGAUAUGGAGGAACACCAGUGGCGAAGGCGGCUUCCUGGUCUGUAACUGACGCUGAGGCGCGAAAGUGUGGGGAGCAAACA